This 1916-nucleotide long non-coding RNA is filed under the name Ailuropoda melanoleuca (giant panda). Its description in RNAcentral is "lncRNA (ENSAMEG00000024411.1)". The record is from RNAcentral. Lineage: Eukaryota; Metazoa; Chordata; Mammalia; Carnivora; Ursidae.
AAAAAUUGUACUUUUGGCCAAGAGUCAUAAAAAUGUUCAUGCCCUUUGAAUCCGUAAUCCUUUUUCUGGGAAUCAAGCCUCAGAAAAGAAUCCCACAUGUAACCUGCAAGCCUCCUCCACGGUGGGUGGGUCGGGGGGUGCAAAUGCCUAUUUUCCAGUUGGUUGCUUGAAUUUCCAAUGCUCUAUUAGCAGGAAGUUGAGUCUUGACUUUUUGAGGCUUCCCAUCACCCCUUUUAUUGGUCAAGAAUACUAGGUGCUUUAUUCAAUUCAAAGAGGGUCAGAAAAGAAGGGAAUAGAACUAGUCCACAGCAGAAGCUCUAGGCUGAGUUACUGUUGCUUCCAUCAUUACCGCCUGCUCUACUAUUGAAAGUGGUCCAGAGCAUCCAUGUCCGGGGUCAUACUGAGUUCCCUGUGAGUGCCAGCACUUACCACAGGAGCCCUUUGAAACAUAAUCCUGUGCCUUAAGGCUGAGCUUAUUAAUAUCUCCACAUUUUGGCUCCCAAAGUCUCAGCUCAGAUGCUCAUGUUGUCAUGUUCAUUCAUCCUUCCCGGAACAACAGCAUCCUUCCCAGAACAGAGUGGCUGGGUCCAGAGGUGCUUCGACCUCAGAUGCAUGAUGAGUCCAAGCAUCCACCAUGUUACAUCUGGACCACUAGCCUGAAUUGUGUUUGCCUAUUAAUAAUACUCUUGAGAGUUCCUAAGAGCAGCAGCUGGGGCCACGGGGACUGUGAAGAAAACCAAAACCACAAUCUCAGAACCUCUCCUAUUGCAUAAUCAAGAUGUGAAUCACUGUAACUGCUGAGACGCUGACCCCUGCAAAGAAAACCUUCUAACCAAUCUGUGUAGCAACCAAAGAGACCCCAAGUUAUAGCUGUUAUUCCAGAAAUUACUGUAUUUAAGCCAGGAACUCAGAGUUUUAUCUACACGGAAUGUUAUUGUUGAUCAUUUGACCUCACUGUUGAGACAGAGUGAGUUGAUGUUCCUUGCCAAAUAGCUGAGGAAGACAAAGUCUAUGCCUUCACAGCAUUGUUUAAAAAAAAAAAAUUUCUACAGAAAAUCUUCAGUCACUUCCCCACUCAAUAAAAAUUUAGAAUUAAAGCAAAAGUGUAUCAGUCAGGAUUCUUAGUUGCAAACAUCAGAAACUAGCUCCAACAGAUUUAAACAGAAAAAUAAUUUAUCAGAAGAACUGUGGAAAUGACCCUGACGUCUGUUUAAAUAAAAUGGAUAAAUUGUGAUAUACAAUGAAAUAUACAACAAUGAAAAAAGAACAAACCGUCAAUAUGCACAACAGUAUGAAUGUAGCAUAUAGAAAUAAUAUUGAGUUAAGAAGCCAAACAGUAUAUAUUUCCAUUUACAUUAAGUUCAGAAACAGGCAAAACAAAUCCAUGGUGUUAGCAUCAGUGUAGUGGUUAAUCUGCGGUGGAAGAAGGGCUAACAGGAGCCAUGAGGAGGGAUUCGGGGUGCUGGUUAGACAGGUAUGCUCAGUUUGGAAAAUUCAUUGAGCCAUGCACACUUGAUACAUAUUCUUUUCUCUAUGUAUGUCUUCGUGAAAGUCACACAGAAAGAAAUCAACAGACGGGCUAUUAGUAGGUCAAAAUAUCACCAGUAAGUGCUGGAGACACAGGUUUGGGACUGUAAGUCCAAGCAUGCCUUCCAAAUCUGGCACAAAACUUGAAUGAGUACAUCUUGCUGCGGCCACUGAGCAGCAGAUGAUGUCCUUUGCUUUGCAGACCCUGCGCCUGGGACAUACAUGUACCCCUAUCUGACAUUUGGUUAUAUGUGCAUUUGUUUAUUUCCUGUCUCCUCAACUAGAAUGUGAGCUCACUGCUGGCACAAAAUAGGUACUCAGAAAACAUUUAUUGAAUGAAUCUAACUGCCUUGUUCAUAACUGAGCAGGGUUCCCCAUCUCAUGGACGC